RNAcentral lists this long non-coding RNA (621 nucleotides) under Pan troglodytes (chimpanzee). RNAcentral describes it as "long non-coding RNA NONPTRT000298". The record is from RNAcentral. Lineage: Eukaryota; Metazoa; Chordata; Mammalia; Primates; Hominidae.
CAUGUAUCUACUUGUGUAUUUCUUAAAUAUGAAAGAGAAGAAGAGUAGAAGAGUGAGAAGUGGCUCUGAAAAUCAGAAGGCCUAAGACCUAUGACAGAAUUAAUGGAUUUGGAGGUUUUCACGCUUUCCUCAGAUAAUCACUACGAGUUUUUGGCAGUGCCUCUCUGCAAGAGGCUCUGGGUCUGUGUUGCUGAAUUGGCCUGUGUCCUCAAAGCACGUUCCAGCUUUCAAGGGGAAAAUGACAAGGUGGAAGACGAGCAAUGGACUGAAUUGCCUAAGUAACCCAGGCUAACAGAAGCUCCAUCUACUUGCGGCUACAACAGAAGAACAAGUGGCCUCCAACGCCGUGGUAGUGGCGGAAGAGAGAUCCUGAAGAAAUCUCACAGGCUUUUUGCUUCUCAACAUGGAAAGUAGAGAUACAUGUCUUUUCUACCCUUUUCAUUGGCUGUAAUGAGUCACAUGUCUCUACUCCCCUUGAAGCUCAGAAGUGCAGUCUUUGUGUCCAAAGUGUCAGAAGAACUGGAUAUUGAUGAACAUUAGUAAUGCUUACCAUGUAUAUUAACCCAGGUGUACACAGAGCCAUGUAAAAUUUGAGUCUCGCACUAUGAAGUUCCAAUCCAG